GGGCACGUAGCUCAGUCCGGAGAGAGCGUUUGGCUUCUAACCAAACGGUCGCGGGUUCAAAUCCCGUCGUGCCCG
Halococcus saccharolyticus DSM 5350 is the source of this 75-nucleotide transfer RNA. It matches the Rfam family "tRNA". From Rfam's summary of the family: Transfer RNA (tRNA) molecules are approximately 80 nucleotides in length. Their secondary structure includes four short double-helical elements and three loops (D, anti-codon, and T loops). Lineage: Archaea; Methanobacteriati; Methanobacteriota; Halobacteria; Halobacteriales; Halococcaceae. The record is from Rfam.